RNAcentral lists this ribosomal RNA (481 nucleotides) under uncultured bacterium. RNAcentral describes it as "partial 16S ribosomal RNA". It matches the Rfam family "Bacterial small subunit ribosomal RNA", at positions 28 to 507 of the family's 1533-position model. The record is from RNAcentral.
GAUGAACGCUGGCGGCGUGCCUAACACAUGCAAGUCGAGCGAAGCGCUUAAAUUAGAUUUCUUCGGAAGGACGAUUCUUGUGACUGAGCGACGGACGGGUGAGCAACGCGUGGGUAACCUGCCUCAUACAGGGGGAUAACAGUAAGACAUGACUGCUAAUACCGCAUAAGACCCCAGCUUCGCAUGCAGCGGUGGUAAAAACUCCAGUGGUAUGAGAUGGACCCGCGUCUGAUGAGCUAGUUGGUAAGGUCACCGCCUACCAAGGCGACGAUCAGUAGCCGGCCUCAGAGGGUGACCCGCCACACUGGGACUGGGACGCGGCCCGGACUCCUACGGGAUGCAGCAAUGCGUAAUAUUGCACAAUGGGGGGAACCAUGAUGCAGUGCCGCCGCGAGAACUAUGAAGUAAUUCGGGAUGUAAACUUCUAUUAGCAGUGAACAAAGUGACGGUACCUGACUAAGAAGCCCCGGCUAACUACGUG